GACAGAGGUGCCGAGCGUUAGGCGGAAUCACUGGGCUUAAAGCGUGUGUAGGCGGGCCGUUAAGUACCUUGUGAAAUCCCCCGGCUCAACCGGGGAACUGCUGGGUAUACUGGCGGCCUUGAGCGCCUAGGGGCAGAUGGAACAGACGGUGGAGCGGUGAAAUGCGUAGAUAUCGUCUGGAACGCCAAAGGUGAAAACAGUCUGCUGGGGCUUGCUGACGCUGAGACACGAAAGCCAGGGGAGCGAACGGG
RNAcentral lists this ribosomal RNA (251 nucleotides) under uncultured bacterium. Its description in RNAcentral is "partial 16S ribosomal RNA". It matches the Rfam family "Bacterial small subunit ribosomal RNA", at positions 524 to 776 of the family's 1533-position model. The record is from RNAcentral.